UGCAGAAUCUGUGCCCAUCCUGUGGCUACCUGCUGCUUCUGGCCAUACUCAAGGGUGCUAGGCAAGGAGUUCUCAGUCAGCCCCUACUAGAGAGCCAACCUGAAAAUGGAACUGAUGAUAACGACGCAUAGUAAGCCAGUGAGAUGACUAAAUGAGGAAAAGACUCGACAGCCCAAGAGAUGAAAGGGGAACUAGAGUUCAGAGCUGCAACAUGUGGGAUUGAGACAGGAAUCCCAUUUAACACCAUUCUGCACACCAUUCUCCAGUGAGGGGCUGUCCUUGACAUCGCUUUGUUUGUCUGGCUUAUGCAAGCCCAUCAUUAAUUCACUUUCAAAGUGUGAUAUCAACAGUCUUGGCAUAAAAAACAUCUCUUAAAUAAUAAAGGCUUUGGUUCCACUGGGUUGCUUUGAAAUGGCAGCUCUUUAAAACAUGA
Molecule: long non-coding RNA, 433 nt
Organism: Mesocricetus auratus (golden hamster)
Lineage: Eukaryota; Metazoa; Chordata; Mammalia; Rodentia; Cricetidae
Exons: 2
Source: RefSeq, a predicted model, not a curated record